AGUGAACGCUGGCGGUAGGCCUAACACGUGCAAGUCGGACGGCAGCACAGUAAGAGCUUGCUCUUACGGGUGGCGAGUGGCGGACGGGUGAGGAAUACAUCGGAAUCUACUUUUUCGUGGGGGAUAACGUAGGGAAACUUACGCUAAUACCGCAUACGACCUACGGGUGAAAGCAGGGGAUCUUCGGACCUUGCGCGAUUGAAUGAGCCGAUGUCGGAUUAGCUAGUUGGCGGGGUAAAGGCCCACCAAGGCGACGAUCCGUAGCUGGUCUGAGAGGAUGAUCAGCCACACUGGAACUGAGACACGGUCCAGACUCCUACGGGAGGCAGCAGUGGGGAAUAUUGGACAAUGGGCGCAAGCCUGAUCCAGCCAUACCGCGUGGGUGAAGAAGGCCUUCGGGUUGUAAAGCCCUUUUGUUGGGAAAGAAAAGCAGCAGGUUAAUACCCCGCUGUUCUGACGGUACCCAAAGAAUAAGCACCGGCUAACUUCGUG
This 492-nucleotide ribosomal RNA is filed under the name uncultured bacterium. RNAcentral's name for it is "partial 16S ribosomal RNA". It matches the Rfam family "Bacterial small subunit ribosomal RNA", at positions 29 to 507 of the family's 1533-position model. The record is from RNAcentral.